RNAcentral lists this long non-coding RNA (814 nucleotides) under Homo sapiens (human). Its description in RNAcentral is "long non-coding RNA NONHSAT149954.1". Lineage: Eukaryota; Metazoa; Chordata; Mammalia; Primates; Hominidae. The record is from RNAcentral.
GUGGACAGGGACCCCUGGUGACUGCCCCCCCGCCGGCCUCAGUAGUCACACCUGCACCCGAAUCUCUGACCGAGAGCUGCAGGUGGCUGGCCGGGAGGGCGGUAUCCACACUCAGCGACGCUAUGGAAGCAUCUACACAUUAAGGCUGGACCCCAGCGCCCGCACCUAUUGCUACAAGCAAGAAGGCUGCCACACAGCCUCACGCUCAGGUCACUGUGCGGCCCUGCUCCAAACUCCUGGACCCCAUCCAGGUCAUCAGCUAUUGCUCUUUGGAGGUUGCAACUUAGCUGAACCAGAAGUAGCUGGGCAUUGGAGUCAUGGGAAAAUUAAGGAGGAACCACCUGUUGCUCCUCAUUUGAUGGAACAGCUUGCAAGGCUUGUGAGCAGUGGGCAGGGGUCCCAGAAGGGGCCCCAUGGACUACGGCAUCACUCAUGUUCUGUGGUCGGGCCCUUUGCUGUGCUGUUUGGUGGAGAAACUCUGACCAGAGCUAGAGACACCAUCUGCAAUGAUCUCUACAUCUAUGAUACUCGCACAUCUCCUCCUUUGUGGUUCCACUUCCCCUGUGCAGAUCGUGGGAUGAAACGCAUGGGCCAUCGCACCUGCCUUUGGAAUGAUCAGCUUUACCUGGUUGGGGGUUUUGGUGAGGAUGGCAGGACAGCCAGUCCACAGGUUUGCAUCCUGGACUUUAUCUAAAUAGUGCCAAGACACAUCACUAAGCCUCGUUUUGUUUUGCUUUGUUGCAAACCUAUAAAGCGUUAUCACCAGAGCUAUCUGCUUCACUUCAAAUGCUUAUUAAAUUUCAAUCUGAGACUC